RNAcentral lists this long non-coding RNA (1895 nucleotides) under Calidris pugnax (ruff). RNAcentral describes it as "lncRNA (ENSCPUG00000000795.1)". The record is from RNAcentral. Lineage: Eukaryota; Metazoa; Chordata; Aves; Charadriiformes; Scolopacidae.
AAUAAACAUAAUUUAUUUGAUUCUGCUAUUUCCUUUUUCAAUUGCUUGAUUUAGCAAUCUCGGUAAUGGUCUUUAACAAAUUCUUUAUUUAUUUUCCUAAACAGAAAAAAGAGGAAAAAAAUGAAAAGAAGCUGCAAAGAGAUUAAUUCCAUCACGAUACCUCAUUUUCCUCAGCAGAAUGAGAACUGCAGAAUUAGCACAGAUUUCUGCUACUUGAGCUAAUGAAGUGCCACUACCAGUCACGGGUUGUCAUCCUCUGAGUAAAGCACUCCCAGAAGAGGAUCGCUGAUGGGCAAUGACAGGAUAUUUUCCACGUUUCAAAGGUUUCUCCGUAUGAUUGCAAAUAAGAAAAAUUAUGGAAGCAUCUUAUUCUGCAAUUAUUCCAUAUUCUCUGACCGACAUGGCUUACUCUUCCCUCUUGCUGUAUUCUCUUCUGUGCAGAUUUUGCUAAAGACUCACACCAGGGAAGUGAAAAAAGAUGUCAUAUUGGGCUUCCUUUCCAUGCGUGUUUACCUACGACCAUUGCUACUGAUGCCAAAAGUGACUGAUAAAGCAACAUUUUUUUUUCUCCGCCACUCUCACUAAAAAAGAAAAAGAAGUUUAGGAAGUCCCUUUUCAGGAAUGAAGCCAAGGUGGAAUCUCAUCCUGGUGGGUUACAGCCUCCCAAUGGAGCUGGGUGACUUGAGAAACACUGUUCUGUACGUCCAAAUUCUCUUUGGACCUUCCCAGAAACAUACAUUAACAGUAGUUUGCAGUGCUUAAUUUUUUUUCUAACAACAGUGCUAAUGCUAACAAGAGCCCAAGUAGGAAGCCCUCAUCAGAGAAAGAGACAGGGGCAAGGGAAGUGCUUAGGCAGGUAGGGAGCUAAGCACUCAAUUAUUACUGAAUUUCAAAUCCACAGGCACUACAGCUAUACCCCCUGCCUUAUAAUUCCUGAGAUUACUGAGUUUUAUCAACAGAAGCUGAGGCCCCCACCGGAUAAUUCCCGAGUUCCUUGAAAUGAGUCUAAUACCCAACAGGGUUACUUGUGCUGCUGCAGAAAGCUAUUUCUGGCCUUUUACGUGUCAGAAAAGAAACUGGAUGUGACGGAUUUGGAGCUGCCCUGGGAUAAUUUAGGAAUAUGGUCUGUUGGCCUGAUUAUUUGGAUGAAUGUCUGAGUUUAACUCAUCAGGGGUUUGCUUGCCACUGUACUCUUAAAUAAUCGCUGGGCUGGUCUAUACUUGCAACCCUGGGAUGCCCCACUUCCAUUGGGGCCACACAGCCAUGGAGCAUGGGGACUUGGAAGGGGAAGAGAUUCAGUUUUGAACCCCAGGCAGUCCUAGCAUCCUGCUCAUUCCUAGAAGAGAUGUAGGUCUCCAAAAGUCCACUGGGGAUUAGAUAUGGGACCUGUAACUGCUUGAUAAAGUGACUGGAUAGAGCAUUUUUGUGAGCAUCCAAUGCUGAUAAAGGGCAGGUGCCAAGAGGAUGGGGCCAUUUUUUUUUUUCAGUGGUGCCCAGUGACAGGACAAGAGGUAAUAGGCACAAACUUGAACAUAGGAAGUUCCAUCUAAACUUGAGGAGGAACUUUUUUACUUUGAGGGUGGCAGAGCACUGGAACAGGCUGUCCAGGGAGGUGGGGGACUCUCCAUCUCUGGAGACAUUCAAAACCCGCCUGGACACGUUCCUGUGCAACCUGUUCUAGGAUGACUUGCUUUGGCAGGGGGGCUGGACUAGAUGAUCUCCAGAGGUCCCUUCCAACCCCAUGUGAUUCUGUGAUUCUGUGACUGUUGGGGGACAUUACUUGGGAUGUGUUCACAUUUAGCCAUGCUAAUUCCAUGUGUUUGUGAAAUUUUCUAUGGAACUGAAGGAUAUCCCCAAAAAAUAAAUUUUGGAAGAAAAAGGGUUUGUGAAUCCCA